GGGAGUCUCAGGUCACGUCUGUUACCUGAUUUUCACUUGUGACAAAAUGACAAAGGAGUGACAUUCAGUGAUAACAAUCGAGAAACUGAUUUCAUUCUAUUUUGGGGGGUAGUUUAUUUCCUUGUCUUCUUCCUAUUUUUAAAUGCUUGCAGGUAGCAAUAUGAAGCAGAAUCAGCACAAUCUCUCAGUGUCACAACUGGAAAAUGGGUUGACCAUUGUAACAGCCACCAUAAUUACCUACAGGCUACUUUCAGGGCCCGCUGUGUGAUGGACCGGACCUGGAAGCUCAGCUGUUGUCAGCAGCGUGGUAGGACCUGCUUGCACAUAUGCAACCACUGUGCUAGGCUUCCAGGCUGAAAGAAACUGAAACAAGGGUUUGGUGUUUUGAGUUGAGGCACACCGUGAAUAAAUACCUAACGCUGAUGUUAGUAUUAUGCCAAAGUCAGGAAUCUGUUUGGAUAAUUGAACAUGAUAUUCAUUCUCUUACUGCUGAGUGAAGGAAGGUGGAAAAGUGCAUUUUUUGCUUAACUGGGCCUAUCACUUUGAAAUUUAGCCCCCAUCAUCUGUUACACUGAGAGGGGAAUGCUGGCAUUUUACGAAACAUAUUCCCCCAAAAUAAAGGAAAUGUAGUUUGUAAUGUUCAGAAGCCAGAGCGUUCGACUAGUCCCCUCAUUUGUUUUUCAGGUUGUGCCUAAAUUGGCUUGCAGAUUUAUCUGCCACGCAUUGCACAUGGAUAUUUUUGUCACCGCAUAUUUCACAACAGCUGUGAUCCUGAUGGGGAUUCAGUUAACCAAAGGCCCCUCUGCAUGCAAGCGGUCACCAGGCAUCUAAUGGGCUGAGGGCUGAAACGACAAUAAAGACUCAGGCUGAUGCCAGUCUGGUCGAGCAACUGCCAACAAAUCAGUCUUGAAAGAGAUUAUUUAUUGCAUCAAUGCUGCUAUUCACCACACAUGUAAGAUUGCUAAUGUCAAGAGUAACUUAUUCCUGUGUCUCUCCUGAUCUAGAAGCUGUCAAUGAAGAUGACGUUCCUCAUCUUACCCCUACGUUAAUCAUGUGGAUUAAUCAUCUGCACUCGGUGAGCUGGCACAACAGGUGGAAGGGGACACAGCAGAGGACACUCACAGGGGAGCCGCCCAGGGGAAGACCGCGCAGUGGCUGUUCUCCCGGUGGGAGCGCCGCGGAUCACAGACACAGUGAAGCACCAGACCUGGAGGCCUCUCCUCCAACACCUAGGAAGCAGACCCCACCCCUGACAGGCGCGCUGACACCCGCAGAGCAGAGGGAGGCCCUGUUGGAUACCCAGGCAGGCUCUGGUCACCACCACGCCAAUCCCACUCCCUGCUGCAAAGUCCUGUCGGUCGUGUCCGACUCUGUGCGACCCCAUAGACGGCAGCCCACCAGGCUCCCCCGUCCCUGGGACUCUCCAGGCAAGAACACUGGAGUGGGUUGCCAUUGCCUUCUCUGAAUGAGACUCCCUGGCAAGGGGAUGAUCGCUCAAGUCUCUGGACCAACCUCGCCCACUGGGGAGCAGACACCAGAAAUUUUUUUUCACUAAGAAGUUGAGCGCUAUCUCAUAACAAAGACAGCUUGAGAAUGUGUGUUAACAAAGUCAAACACUGGAAAUGAAUUUCACAGUCCUCCGCACUGCUCAUUCUCACCUCAUGAAUCCACAAGUGUCUAUGAAUUUGAAGGAUUGCUGCUGGUGGAUGAUCUCACCUUCCACACUUCCAUAGUCUCUGGUUACGCUUUUUCUCCUGAAGAAGAUGGAUGUUUAUGUCAUGCCAGCCCCAGUACCUAACCUACAUCUUAAUGGGAAGGGCAGUGCAGCAAAUACUCUUCUUUCUCUUACUUGGUUCAUUUUAAAUUUAUAGACUUUAAAACUAUUUAUCAACUAACUUCCUUCCUCCUUUCCUUCCUUCCUCUUUUUUCCAAAAUAAUCUUAAAUUUUCUCCUGAGGGGAAUACCAGUUUUCUCCUCACUGUUCAUGUAGUACGUGCUCCCUACAAAUUCUUUUUCACCGUAAACAUAGAGGCUGCAGAUGCCAUUUUUUUAAAAUUCAAAACAACUAAUAGUGGUAAACUCUGUAAUUUCUUUCAAAAUAUAUUCUGCAAAAUAAGUGCUUGACAUUAUAUUGGAACUAAAAUGCUCAAAUUAAGAGAAGGAAGGAAAUGAGUAUUUAUUCGAGGAUCUACUAUGUGCCAGAAGUUUUCUGUACAUGAAUUCUUUUAAUCCUCAUCACAGCACUGGGUGAGAGCUGUUAUUCUUUCCAAUUUGUGUUUCAGCAACUGAAAUUGAGACACUCGGUAGCUCACGCAGCAUGCCAUAGCUACCAAAUGACUUUCCCACUUUCUUAUAUACCAUUUUGCAAGUGAGACCCAUGAGGUGCAGAGAGACCAGGGGGCUUAAACUGGUGUCUGAGUUUGAAUUGGAUAAUAGGUCCUCUGACUCAGUUCAUCCCACUAAGCCACUGGGAAUACAAAGAUGAGGGGGGAAAACUCAUGAAAUUGACCCUAAAAUUAAAAUUCACAUGAAAAUGUCUAUAAGAAAAUUUACCGUGUUCAGUUUUUUUGAGGCAUGGAAUCUGUUAAUAUAUUUCCUGUCUGUUACUGAGAAGAAAAUCUCAUGUGAUUCCUCCUCAUGUUUCUUUUCCGUUAGUGCCAUGACUGUUAUUUUUAAGGAAUUUUGUAUCUGGAUGCUGGCAACACAACUUUCUCGUCUCCAUGGCACUGGGGCAUAGGUCAGAUUGUGCUGGGCCAAACUCCAAAUAUAUAGCAUGAAUUUUCUAUUUUACAGCUAUUAAGGCAAACUGACCUCAGAAAUUUGUGCAACCGUUCAAAGAAUGAGCCUUAUCUUACUCUUAUUGCUCUCUCUACCUUUUUCCUCCAACAUCAGACCUGGAACACAGAAGCUACUCCUAGUACAGUGAUUAUUUUUGCACAUGUUGCUCUCUUUUCCUCCUACCAGAGUUUCCCUUAGAACAAGAACUCCACAGUUGCUAAACAGACAGAGGUUGUGCAUGGCUGUUACUAUAUUUACAGAUGAGACAAGAUUUGGUAGGUGAGAGGUUGGGAGAAAGGAUUGAAAAGAAAGGUUCAAGGUUAAGAGUUCUUAUACCCAUUGCUCUGAAGAGUUGCUAAAAAAACAAAAACCACAUAACAAAAUCUGAGCAUGUUUCUCAGCCCCUGGAAACCUGCCCUAGAGGUGUGCAGCAAGUGGUCUCCACAUUCUCCAUACCAGGCCAGCUUGCCUACUCGCUGUUCCUCAAAUAUACCUCAUCCUGUCUCUUCUCUCAGCUUCUUAGUAAAAAGGUUCCCUCUGAUAUAACUGUCUUCUCUUCCUCCACUUCUACUAAUCACAUUUCUACACAUCCCUCGACACUGGGUGUAAAUGCUGCCCACUCCAUGCAGGCCUCUCAUGAACUGAGGGUCAGGAAUCCCUUUUGUCCGUGACUGUAGCAGCCGGAACACAGAUCUUCUGUAGCACUUACCACUUACUACUAAAUUUGGAAUGCUUUUAUGUCAUUGUAUCUUCUUUAUAAGGUUAAUAAUUAUUUCUAUAUAUCCAAAAGUAUAAUCCUCAUUCCAUUUUAUUGUUUUUUCACUUGACUUCUAGGACCUCAUGCUGUCUCAGUUUUCCUCCUCGCUCACUGGCCAUUUCUUCUUGGUGUCUCGUUCCCUCCCUCUCUUUGGGUUCUGGCUUAUCAGUCUGGACUCUUCACUAUUUAGUAAAGCUUCGUUUUGGCACUUGAUCAAUACCCACUCACUCCCAAGAUGAUCUUACAGAAUUUUACACCUUUAAAUAUCAUCUCAGUGCUGACGACUCUCAAAUACAUGUAUCCAGCCUGGACCCUGACCUCAGCUCCAGAUGGUUCUCCCCACCUGUGUGCUGAGUCAUCUUCACCUUGCCUCCUCACUUGGCAUCUCCCGUGACAUGUGUCCAAAACAGAACUCCCAACCCCUGCCCCACUGCCAUCCCUCAAAACUUGCUUUACCUCCUACCUUCUCUUCUGUAGUAAAUGGCAACUGACAUUUUAGAAUCACUGAUUCAUCUCUUUCUCUUAAUUUAUGCAUACAGUCUUUUAGCAAAUCCUGCAAAUCUCAAAUAUAUAUAUUCAGAAUCUGCUUCUAGUCAUUUCUUGUCUAUGACCCUGAUCCAAGCCGUAAUUAUCUCUCAUCUGGGAUACUCAGUGCCUUGCUGACUGGUUUCUCUGUCUCUACAUGCACACAUCCUACUGUGUGUGUGUGUGUGUAUACAACAGGGCAACUAUACUGAUUUAGGAAUAAUUAGAAGGUAUUGCAAAGCAAAAGAAACCAUAAACAAGAUGAAAAGACAACCCUCAGAAUGGGAGAAAAUAUUUGCUGACAAAGGAUUGAUCUUCAAAAUAUACAAAUAGCUCAUGCAAGUCAAUAUCAAAAAAACAACUCAAUCAAAAAAAUGGGCAGGAGACUUAUAUAGGCAUUUCUCCAAAGAAGGCAUACAAGAUGGCCAACAACAAAUGAAAAGAUGCUUAACAUCACUAUUAGAGAAAUAUGAAUCAAAACUAUAAUGAGGUAUCACCUCACAGUGGUCAGAAUGGCCAUCAUCAAAAACAUCUACAAACAAUAAAUGCUGGGAAAGGAAAUAAAUCCUACAAUGUUGAUUGGAAUGCAAACUGGUAUAGCUACUAUGAAGAAACAGUAUGGAGGGUCCUCAAAAAACUAAAACUAGAACUACCAUAUGACUCCACUAUCCCACUACUGGGCAUAGACCUGGAGAAAACCAUAAUUCAAAAAAUGCAUGCACCCCAAUGUUCACUGAAGCACUGUAUACAAUAGCCAGGACAUGGAAGCAACCUAAAUGUCCAUCAACACAGGAAUGGAUAAAGAAGAUGUAUUACAUAUAUAAUAGAGUAUCACUCAGCCGCUUUGUCCCAAUAGGAACAAAAUUGGGUGGACCUAGAGACAUGGAUGGACCUACAGAGUGUUAUACAGAGUGAAGCAAAUAAGUCAGUCAGAAAGAGAAAAACAAAUAUGUAUAUUAAUGCAUAUACAUGGAAUCUAGAAAAAUGGUACAGAUGAUCCUACUUGCAAAGCAGAAAGAGA
Dama dama (fallow deer) is the source of this 5081-nucleotide long non-coding RNA. RefSeq lists it as uncharacterized. The record is from RefSeq and is a predicted model, not a curated record. The transcript has 6 exons. NCBI's taxonomy places the organism in Eukaryota, Metazoa, Chordata, Mammalia, Artiodactyla, Cervidae.